This 1640-nucleotide long non-coding RNA is filed under the name Vigna radiata. RNAcentral describes it as "long non-coding RNA (VRAD_LNC008430)". Lineage: Eukaryota; Viridiplantae; Streptophyta; Magnoliopsida; Fabales; Fabaceae. The record is from RNAcentral.
GCGUGAUGCUUUUAUUGACAUUCGUUCAAUUAUUUUCGUUUUCAUUCUUCUUUAUUUACCUAAACAGCUCAGCACGACAUGCAAUAAUUUCAGAAAGUAUGAACAAAAAUUAAAAUGAAAAUAUGCGGUAUUUAUUGAAUGAAAUAACACAGAUUACAACAAUUUAAAAGGCAAUGUCAAUAUUCGCUAACGGCAACUCCUAUCACGGAAUCAUCAUACAUAAAACUUUUUGACCGCAUCAGAAUUAACCGAUAACGGUAAUUCCUCCCCGUCCAUCCUUGUGAGAAUUAAUGCCCCACCAGAGAAUGCUUUCUUCACCACAAAUGGCCCUUCAUAGUUUGGGGUCCACUUGCCUCUAUGAUCUUUUUGGAUGGGCAAAAUCUUCUUCAACACUAGUUCGCCUUCAUGAAACUCUCUUGGGUGCACCCUUUUGUCAAAUGCCUUUUUCAUUCUCCUUUGAUAUAAUUGUCCAUGACACACCGUUGUUAACCUUUUUUCUUCGAUAAGGUUGAGUUGGUCGGAUCGGGUUUGAACCCACUCAGCUUCCUCUAACUUAGUUUCCAUUAACACCCGUAAGGAGGGAAUUUCAACCUCAAAUGGAAGUACCGCUUCCAUCCCAUACACUAGCGAGAAUGGCGUGGCCCCAGUUGAUGUUCGUACUGAUGUGUGGUAUCCGUGCAAAGCGAAAGGAAGCAUUCCGUGCCAAUCCUUGUAGGUGACCACCAUCUUCUGCACAAUCUUCUUGAUAUUCUUGUUAGCAGCUUCUACUGCCCCAUUCAUCUUUGGACGAUAAGGAGAGGAAUUAUGGUGGUGAAUUUUGAACUCUUCACAUAACUCCACCAUCAUCUGGUUGUUCAGGUUGGUGGCAUUAUCAAUGAUGAUCUUGUUAGGGAGCCCGUAUCUGCAAAUCAACUCCUUCUUUAUGAAUCUAGUCACCACUUUUCUAGUUACGUUGGCAUAUGAAGCAGCCUCAACCCACUUGGUGAAGUAAACAAUUGUGACUAGUAUGAAACGAUGUCCAUUUGACGCCUUUGGCUCUAUAGCUCCGAUGACAUCUAUUCCCCACAUUGAAAAAGGCCAUGGUGCAGACAACACACGUUCAAGGUUACGGGCGGCACAUUGAUGUUAUCUGCAUACAUCUGGCAUUUCUCACACUUUCUCACGUGUAUGCAGCAAUCAUUUUCCAUGGCCAACCAAAAAUAACCAGCUCUCAAUAUCUUCCUAGCCAUUGAAUGACCAUUCAUGUGUGUGCCAAAUGUACCUUCGUGCACUUCUUUCAAUAUCAGCUCAGCUUCCUUUGCAUCCACGCAUCUAAGGAGAACCAUGUCAUGAUUUCUCUUGUAUAAGACUUCCCCACUUAAGAUGAAGCUAACAGCCAACCUCCUCAACGACCUUUUAUCGUUUUCCGACGCCUUGUUAGGAUAUUCUCGGGUCUUAAGAUAAUGUUUGAUAUCGAAAUACCAAGGUUUCCCGUCUACUUCCUCCUCGAUGAAAUGACAAUAUGUCGGCUCUGCAUGGCUCUUCAUUUCAAUCAUUGGUAAGUCUGCGUCUUGGUCAACUUCGAACAUUGAUGACAAAGUAGCCAAUGCGUCUGCUAAUUGAUUAUCUUCUCGCAGUAUGUGGUUGAAUGUGAUGGCAUC